CACGUAGUUAGCCGGGGCUUCUUAGUCAGGUACCGUCAUUUUCUUCCCUGCUGAUAGAGCCUUACAUACCGAAAUACUUCUUCACUCACGCGGCGUCGCUGGAUCAGGGUUUCCCCCAUUGUCCAAUAUUCCCCACUGCUGCCUCCCGUAGGAGUUUGGGCCGUGUCUCAGUCCCAAUGUGGCCGUUCACCCUCUCAGGCCGGCUACUGAUCGUCGCCUUGGUAGGCCGUUACCCUACCAACAAGCUAAUCAGACGCGGAGCCAUCUUACACCACCUCAGUUUUUCACACCGGACCAUGCGGUCCUGUGCGCUUAUGCGGUAUUAGCACCUAUUUCUAAGUGUUAUCCCCCUGUCGUAAGGCAGGUUCUCCACGCGUUACUCACCCGUCCGCCACUAAGUUACCAACAUUUCCACUCUUAGCAAGCUAAUCGCUUCAAAAAUGAUAACUCCGUUCGACUUGCAUGUGUUAAGCACGCCGCCAGCGUUACAUCCUGAGCCAGGGAUCGAAACUCU
RNAcentral lists this ribosomal RNA (514 nucleotides) under uncultured Lachnospiraceae bacterium. Its description in RNAcentral is "partial 16S ribosomal RNA". The record is from RNAcentral. Lineage: Bacteria; Bacillati; Bacillota; Clostridia; Lachnospirales; Lachnospiraceae.